Molecule: transfer RNA, 64 nt
Filed under: Peruphasma schultei
Lineage: Eukaryota; Metazoa; Arthropoda; Insecta; Phasmatodea; Pseudophasmatidae
Description: tRNA-Glu
Source: RNAcentral
AUUUAUAUAGUUUAAGAAAAACAUUACAUUUUCAGAGUAAAAUUAAAAUUAUAUUUUAUAAAUG